Oncorhynchus keta (chum salmon) is the source of this 449-nucleotide long non-coding RNA. RefSeq lists it as uncharacterized. The transcript is spliced from 3 exons. The record is from RefSeq and is a predicted model, not a curated record. Lineage: Eukaryota; Metazoa; Chordata; Actinopteri; Salmoniformes; Salmonidae.
AUCAGUGAGGAGAAAGGAACAGCGGCAUGAUUAGAUACUAUGUUGUAGCGGGGGGGUCAGUGAGGAGAAAGGAACAGCGGCAUGAUUAGAUACUAUGAUGUAGCAGGGGGGUCAGUGAGGAGAAAGGAACAGCGGCAUGAUUAGAUACUAUGUUGUAGCAGGGGGGGGUCAGUGAGGAGAAAGGAACAGCGGCAUGAUUAGAUACUAUGUUGUAGCAGGGGGGGGUCAGUGAGGAGAAAGGAACAGCGGCAUGAUUAGAUACUAUGUUGUAGCAGGGGGGGUCAGUGAGGAGAAAGGAACAGCGGCAUGAUUAGAUACUAUGUUGUAGCAGGGGGGGGUCAGUGAGGAGAAAGGAACAGCGGCAUGAUUAGAUACUAUGUUGUAGCAGGGGGGGUCAGUGAGGAGAAAGGAACAGCGGCAUGAUUAGAUACUAUGUUGUAGCAGGGGGG